Long non-coding RNA from Pungitius pungitius (ninespine stickleback), 1857 nucleotides. RefSeq lists it as uncharacterized. NCBI's taxonomy places the organism in Eukaryota, Metazoa, Chordata, Actinopteri, Perciformes, Gasterosteidae. The record is from RefSeq and is a predicted model, not a curated record. The transcript has 3 exons.
AUAAGUACUGUUGCUGCUUGUCUAAGGCGUGUGUGUGUUUUAUCUACAGUUAGAGAGAAAGAAUAGUGUUAAAUAUGUUUUCAGGAUUUAUUGUAUCUUGCUAGUGUCUCUUGAGUUAAUUUUAACCAGAUGUGACACACAUGUACUAUUGAACACAGUAUUUAACUGCAGUAAUCUACUUCUGUAAUUACUUUUUUUGAAGGCUGCAACGUUAAACUUACUGUCAGUUUGUCCUAUUGUUUCCUCUCGUAGACAACAGAACAUCAUAUUCUCUGUUGUUGGUAAGUAUACUAAUAUUGUACCUGAAAUAACUGUUUAGGCCUUUAAAAUCUUAGAACAUUGUGAAAAUGUCAUGCAAAAGUCUCCCAGAAUUAUGUCCUUGUGUUUUGCCCACAAAUUAGAGAGAUUCCGUUUACUCUCAUAGAGAAGCAAAGCAAUCAGAAAAUAGUGCACAUUGCACCUGGAAUCAGUUCGGAAUUUUACUUCAUACUUAAUUCAUCAAUUAAUAGCAACAUUUUGAAUGCUUUGUACCAUAGUGCUAUAGAUUUGCAUCUUAAAGUCCCUUAACAGCGUUCAUAGGCAAACAAUUUAGUCUUGUUGGCAACACAGUCAGUAUUACCACACAGCUUUUGAAUGUGACAUUGGUUAUAAAUAAGGACAUGAAGAGUCCACCUGAAAGAACUUUUAUUUUAAAUGUGCAAUGAGUUGGUUUUCUAAAGUGUAACAUAUGUUUUUUUUCUCUUCAUGCCUCACCCACCUGGACCCCUCCUUUCUGUGUUUAACUGCAGACCAUCACUGCUAGUGACUUAUUGCUGACUCUGAGAAGUGACCUGUUGUUUCCUCCCAGGACGUCUUGGUGACUCCUUGGUGUUUUGACAGUGCCUUGCUGGCCAGCGUCUCUCCUCUAUCAUAUUGGCACUCUGUCUAUCCUAUACCUUCUAUCCACUCUGUCUCAAUAUUGGAACCUCUAUCUAUCCUAUACCUUCUAUCCACUCUGUCUCAAUAUUGGAACCUCUAUCUAUCCUGUCACAUCUACCGCUCUGUCUCAAUAUUGGAACCUCUAUCUAUCCUGUCACAUCUACCGCUCUGUCUCAAUAUUGGAACCUCUAUCUAUCCUGUCACAUCUACUGCUCUGUCUCAAUAUUGGAACCUCUAUCUAUCCUGUCACAUCUACUGCUCUGUCUCAAUAUUGGAACCUCUAUCUAUCCUGUCACAUCUACUGCUCUGUCUUUGAUAUCAACAAUUCUAUCUUUCUAUCCCCCUUCUAUCCCACCUCAGGUUACAAGUACCUGAUCUACCUUUACUGAACCACAUAACGUUGGUUACCCUUGAUUACAACAACCUCAGGUUACAAGUACCUGAUAUACCUUUACUGAACCACAUAACGUUGGUUAUCCUUGAUUACAACAACCUCAGGUUACAAGUACCUGAUCUACCUUUGCUGAACCACAUAACGUUGGUUACCCUUGGUUACAACAACCUCAGGUUACAAGUACCUGAUCUACCUUUGCUGAACCACAUAACGUUGGUUACCCUUGGUUACAACAACCUCAGGUUACAAGUACCUGAUCUACCUUUGCUAAACCACAUAACGUUGGUUACCCUUGGUUACAACAACCUCAGGUUACAAUACUAGUACUAUUUACAAAUUCGGCAAAGCUUUUGGAAUAAACUGAGACUUUUUUAGUUCGAAUUUGUUUCUGUUGAAUUUGGUUCAAUCUGUAAACAACAGUUACAGGAUAUUUAUACACUUUGUCUGAAUUAUAUUUUUUAUAUACACAAACAUUAUUUAAAGUGUUUUGUUGUUUAACUGUUCAUACUAAAAUAAAAUACAAGCAUCUAUAAGGAGAAAUCAGA